Planococcus citri (citrus mealybug) is the source of this 784-nucleotide long non-coding RNA. RefSeq lists it as uncharacterized. The record is from RefSeq and is a predicted model, not a curated record. The transcript is spliced from 2 exons. Lineage: Eukaryota; Metazoa; Arthropoda; Insecta; Hemiptera; Pseudococcidae.
AUCGUGUUAAUGGCUAAUUUAGUGAUCACAAUCGAUGAGUUAUUUCUAUAGAGUAUCACCUGGGUACCUUUAUACUCAGCUACCUACCCGGAAAAGAUUAGAAUUAUUUCAAAAUCACGAAGGAAUGUGUAUUUAAACGCCUAAUUUAAUGAUCAUUGAUCACAAUCGGUUAGUUAUUUCGCGUACCAAUAUAUAAAAUUGGAAAAUUUGAUGAUAGCUUAACAUUUAAGGUUUCAUCUCCCUUCUGAGUAUACCUAGUUAUCGCGUCGUGAUUAAUCGAACAAUUGACCAGUAAAAAAUAAAUUUGAGCGAGAAAAUUGGAAACCCCACCUGAGAAGUUGAAUAUUCGACCUUGCUGCCAAAUCGUCAAAUUACUCGAACGUUCUAUUCCAAUUCUAAACUCAGAGAUCUUAAACUAAACAUGAACUUUAAAUUGUUGAUACUCGCCAUCGGAGUCGUCCUACUGUUUGAUUUUUCUCAUGCAACCAAGGAGAAAUGUGAGAAAAUGCCUGAUAAGUUUUUUACCAGGAAAAUCGAUUGUAUGAGAGCUUGCGUUGAUUAUUGCGAUCUUCUAGGAAUGCGUCAACAUUAUUGCCCUCGCACUGAAUUUAGAGGUUAUAAAUGUACUUGCAAUGAUGCAAAUAUGCACGAAUGAUUUUACUGAAUGUAACCACUUAACUCGUUCAAGUGUUCAAAUUGAUAUGUAGAUUGUAGGUACAUACUAAUAGUUUUUUUUUUAGCAGAGUCAAUAUUUUGACAAAUAUAUUACAAUUUUUUCGUUCAA